CCUUGGCCUGCCUUCCCUCUGCGCUCCGCAAAGAUCUCUCCACGUGCGCCAUCAUGUCACCCCUCGAGGCCGCCCUGCCCGCUGGAGCUGCACCUGCCUCGCUGGCAUCUGGAGGUCGGUGUCACCCCUCGGGGAGCGUUUGGACACGGCGACGUGUUCUUUGUUGGAGAGGAGAAGAACCUGGAAUCCAGCUCCAGAAGGAGAGGUGCAGGGCUUGGACUGUUUUUCUGCGCAUGUCCUGGAUCUCGGCGGCUGACAGGCCGCGCCCACUCGCCCGACCUGCUGGCCACGCCCUAAUCUCCUGCCUCAGGGCCACACCGAAAAGAAAAAACAAGCCUAGGGAGUAAAGACAUGGAAUACAAAUACGAAUAACCUUGCUUAACUUUGCAGUCUUCUUAACAGUUUUAAAAUUAUGAUUUUUAUGUCUCCUUUCUACUCUCUGUUUCUUCUAUCCUACCUCAGCAGCACUUCCCUAAAAGUUUGCUUUCUUUGUUGAAGAAGCUAUAUAUAAAUUAAUAAACUCUCCUUUUCUUCCUCUCUCUCCAGUCCUGGUGAUCAAACCCAGGACCACACGCCAGGCAAGUGCUCUAUCACUGAGCUACACCUCC
RNAcentral lists this long non-coding RNA (608 nucleotides) under Fukomys damarensis (Damara mole-rat). RNAcentral's name for it is "lncRNA (ENSFDAG00000031908.1)". Lineage: Eukaryota; Metazoa; Chordata; Mammalia; Rodentia; Bathyergidae. The record is from RNAcentral.